This 493-nucleotide ribosomal RNA is filed under the name uncultured bacterium. Its description in RNAcentral is "partial 16S ribosomal RNA". It matches the Rfam family "Bacterial small subunit ribosomal RNA", at positions 28 to 503 of the family's 1533-position model. The record is from RNAcentral.
GAUGAACGCUGGCGGCGUGCCUAAUACAUGCCAGUCGAGCGAACAGACGAGGAGCUUGUUCAUCUGCCGUUAGCGGCGGACGGGUGGGUGAGAAGUGGAUAACCUACCUAUACGACUGGGCUAACUUCGGGAACCAGGAGCUAAUAACGGCUAAUAGUUUUAACCUCAUGGUUCAAUAGUGAAAGGCAGGUUUGAUGUCACUUAUAGAUGGAUCCGGGCCGCGUUAGCUAGUUGGUAAGGUAACGGCUUACCAAGGCAACGAGGCGUAGCCGACCUGGGGGGGUGGUCGGCCAAAAUGGAACGGAGACACGGUCCAGACUCCUACGGGAGGCAGGAGGAGGGAAGCAUCCGCAAUGGGCGAAAGCUUGACGGAGCAACGGCGCGUGAGUGAUGAAGGGCUUCGGAUCGGAAAACUCGGUUAUAAGGGAAGAUCAAAUGUGUAAGUAACGAUGCACUGCUGGACCGUAACUAAUCAGAAAGGGCCAGCUAACUG